RNAcentral lists this ribosomal RNA (440 nucleotides) under uncultured bacterium. Its description in RNAcentral is "partial 16S ribosomal RNA". It matches the Rfam family "Bacterial small subunit ribosomal RNA", at positions 338 to 795 of the family's 1533-position model. The record is from RNAcentral.
CCUACGGGGGGCAGCAGUGGGGAAUAUUGCACAAUGGGGGAAACCCUGAUGCAGCGACGCCGCGUGAGUGAAGAAGUAUUUCGGUACGUAAAGCUCUAUCAGCAGGGAAGAAAAUGACGGUACCUGACUAAGAAGCCCCGGCUAACUACGUGCCAGCAGCCGCGGUAAUACGUAGGGGGCAAGCGUUAUCCGGAUUUACUGGGUGUAAAGGGAGCGUAGACGGCAGCGCAAGUCUGGAGUGAAAUCCCAUGGCUUAACCAUGGAACUGCUUUGGAAACUGUGCAGCUAGAGUGCAGGAGAGGUAAGCGGAAUUCCGAGUGUAGCGGUGAAAUGCGUAGAUAUUAGGAGGAACACCAGUGGCGAAGGCGGCUUACUGGACUGUAACUGACGUUGAGGCUCGAAAGCGUGGGGAGCAAACAGGAUUAGAUACCCUAGUAGUC